UCCUGGUCCUUUCUCAGGAAUUCCAAAGGAACGGCCUCCUCUGGUCUUUGCUUUCAUACCCACUUAGAACACAUUCCAGGGUUUGACAGGAGAGCAAAAUAGCAGAGAGAACCCUUGGGUCUGAGAAGCUGGCAGGGAAGAACAGAAGAGUCACCCCUCUUGAUGGCGGAUAACUAUUGAUGAACUUGAGCGGCUAUUGAAGCAUUGAUAACGGCUCACGGCAAAGUCAUAUGAUAUCCAUCGCAGAAGUCAUAGGCAAGAGCACCAAUGACUGUCAGAGCAGGGAGGAAAAGGGGGGCGAUGGUGUAAAGAACAUGGUGCUCACUCACGGCUGCGCAUAGUGGGUUUACGUCAGGACCUAAACCCGUGGUCUAGUGCCUUCCCACUUUCAGGGUGGUUCUUCUUCCUCAGUCAAGAUUCUCUGAGAACUCCUGCAAAGACGUGCCCAACACUGUGCCUCCUACGUGGUUCUAAAGCUGAUCAGCUGACUGUGAAGAUGAACCAUCACCACCCACACUGAGUGGACUUCAAUGGCUGAGGCCCAACCCACGCUCUACGUGACCUUGAGAGGAAAGGACUAGACCAUGAUGUGCCUCCCUACACCAGCAUCUGCCUCCUGGGGUUACUGUGUCCCCUGACGGGGUCUGGAGAUGACACUGUGUGACCGACUUAAACCGUUUGAGUUUGCACGAGCACUGUCUCUGGGAGGAAGAACUUACAAUGGUGGAAACAUGCACCUAGCAUGUGUGUCUCAGACCAUUAUGUGAUGGGUGCCGGCAGCAAGUGUAAGAAUCAUCCGUCUCCUAAGGACAAGGAAGAGAAGACGCAUCACUGGAGCAUGGGAGCUUGGGUGUGGGAGCACACAGAACCCAGUUCUAGACUAUGGACACUGGGCUGGUGCUGCUGUCCCUGAAGGGCUGGCUCCCUGUAGGCUGAACAUAGGGCGUUUGAGGAGAACAACCUGGGAUGAGGAUCUCUCUCUCUCUCUCUCUCUCUCUCUCUCUCUCUCUCUCUCUCUCUCUCUCAUGCACGCACAUACACACCCCCCAUAUAUGUUCACACACUUGCAUGCUUACAUACACAC
RNAcentral lists this small RNA (1084 nucleotides) under Rattus norvegicus (Norway rat). Its description in RNAcentral is "uncharacterized LOC102554279". The record is from RNAcentral. Lineage: Eukaryota; Metazoa; Chordata; Mammalia; Rodentia; Muridae.